CCUACGGGGGGCAGCAGUGGGGAAUAUUGCACAAUGGGGGAAACCCUGAUGCAGCAACGCCGCGUGAAGGAAGACGGUUUUCGGAUUGUAAACUUCUUUUCUUAGUGAAGAAGCAAGUGACGGUAGCUAAGGAAUAAGCAUCGGCUAACUACGUGCCAGCAGCCGCGGUAAUACGUAGGGGGCAAGCGUUAUCCGGAAUUACUGGGUGUAAAGGGUGAGUAGGCGGCAUGGUAAGCCAGAUGUGAAAGCCUUGGGCUUAACCCAAGGAUUGCAUUUGGAACUAUCAAGCUAGAGUACAGGAGAGG
RNAcentral lists this ribosomal RNA (305 nucleotides) under uncultured bacterium. RNAcentral's name for it is "bacterial SSU rRNA". It matches the Rfam family "Bacterial small subunit ribosomal RNA", at positions 338 to 657 of the family's 1533-position model. The record is from RNAcentral.